AUGGCAGGGACACUGAGGGUGGGCAGGCCCACACUGAUUGCAUCAUGUCACCUGGAGGGUAAGGGGACAUCCCUGGUCCUGGCUACUGCAUCCUCAUGGUGGGGACACAGCCCCAGGUCACCUUGUUGCCACAGGACACUGUGUCCCCUUGGCAUAGCCACCACCACAGGCCACUGCAUUACUCUGGGCCACCCUGUCCCCAUGGCAAGGUCACCACCCUUGGCCACCGUGUCCCCACGCUGUGGUCCUACAGCCAGGUGCAGAGCCAGGACAGCCUCAACACUGCUGUGGGACAGCAGCACUGUAUGGGGGGGUACAACACCCCAGGUGACACUGGCUGGAGUCCCUGAGGUGCUCCCUGUCCCUGUCCCCAAGCCCUGCAUGGGGAGGGGGUGCAGUGCAGCCCCUCAAACCAGCUCCACCCACCUGGGCACAAAGCUCCAAAGUGCCACGUUUGGGAGUGCAGGAGUUGGGAAAGGGAUAAAGGCGGGAGGCGGCAGCAGCAGUGGCUGCCGUGGUUGUGGUGGUUGUGAUGGCAGCAAUGGCAGCGGUGAUUCCAGUGGCAACAGUGACUCCAAUGGUAGUGGUGAUGGCCGCAGUGGCUGUGGUGGCAGUGGUGGCUGCAGUGGUGACAAGAGUGGCUGUCACAGCUGCAGUGGUUGCGGUGGUGGCUGCAGUGAUGGUGGUGGCAGUAGCGGCUGGGGUGGCAGCGGUGGCUGCAGCUGUUGCGGCGGUGGCUGCGGCAGUUGUGGUUACAGCAGUGGCUGCAGCUGUUGUGGAGGUGGCUGCGGCGGUUGUGGUGACAGCAGUGGCUGCAGUGGCUGCAGCUGUUGUGGAGGUGGCUGCAGCAGUUGUGGUGACAGCAGUGGCUGCAGUGGCUGCAGCUGUUGUGGAGGUGGCUGCAGCAGUUGUGGUGACAGCAGUGGCUGCAGUGGCUGCAGCUGUUGUGGAGGUGGCUGCAGCAGUUGUGGUGACAGCAGUGGCUGCAGUGGCUGCAGCUGUUGUGGAGGUGGCUGCAGCAGUUGUGGUGACAGCAGUGGCUGCAGUGGCUGCAGCUGUUGUGGAGGUGGCUGCAGCAGUUGUGGUGACAGCAGUGGCUGCAGUGGCUGCAGCUGUUGUGGAGGUGGCUGCAGCAGUUGUGGUCAAACAGCAGCUCCCGCAGAAUCGAUGCCGGCCGAGCCCUCGGCUGUUUGCUUUGGCAGCGCGGGCGGGGGCGGCUGGGCCGUGCUGGGGACGCCGGCAGCGGGAGGGGGACAAUCAAUGCUCCAGGGCCACAGGUUUGGUCGGGGGGUGGCUGUGCUCCCCCACCUCCCGCUCGCUGUGGAAUUCCUGGAGGAGGAUUUGAGGAAGGGCGAGGGUGGCCGGGCCAGGGCAGGGGGCUUGUGGGGCUGA
RNAcentral lists this long non-coding RNA (1392 nucleotides) under Ficedula albicollis (Collared flycatcher). Its description in RNAcentral is "lncRNA (ENSFALG00000022956.1)". Lineage: Eukaryota; Metazoa; Chordata; Aves; Passeriformes; Muscicapidae. The record is from RNAcentral.